GCGGGAAUUCGAUUAGAGUUUGAUUAUGGCUCAGAACGAACGUUAGCGGCGCGCCUAACACAUGCAAGUCGAACGAGAAAGGGCUUCGGCCCCGGUACAGUGGCGCACGGGUGAGUAACACGUAGGUAAUCUUCCCUCGGGUGGCGGAUAACCCCUCGAAAGGGGGGCUAAUACGGCAUAAGACCACGCCGCCGCAAGGUGGUGAGGUCAAAGCGGGCCUCUGCACGCAAGCUCGCGCCUGAGGAUGAGCCUGCGGCCCAUCAGCUAGUUGGUAGGGUAACGGCUUACCAAGGCAUAGACGGGUAGCUGGUCUGAGAGGAUGAUCAGCCACACUGGAACUGAGACACGGUCCAGACUCCUACGGGAGGCAGCAGUGGGGAAUUUUGCGCAAUGGACGAAAGUCUGACGCAGCGACGCCGCGUGGGUGAUGAAGGCCUUCGGGUUGUAAAGCCCUGUGGGGAGGGAAGAAUAAAGGACGGCGAAUACCCGUCCUGAUGACGGUACCUCCUUAGCAAGCACCGGCUAACUCUGUGCCAGCAGCCGCGGUAAGACAGAGGGUGCAAACGUUGUUCGGAAUUACUGGGCGUAAAGCGCGUGUAGGCGGCUACGCAAGUCGGGUGUGNNNGNCCUCGGCUCAACUGGGGAAGUGCACUCGAAACUGCGCAGCUUGAGUCCC
Molecule: ribosomal RNA, 676 nt
Filed under: uncultured bacterium
Lineage: Bacteria
Description: bacterial SSU rRNA
Rfam family: Bacterial small subunit ribosomal RNA
Source: RNAcentral